Marmota monax (woodchuck) is the source of this 843-nucleotide long non-coding RNA. RefSeq lists it as uncharacterized. The transcript has 3 exons. Lineage: Eukaryota; Metazoa; Chordata; Mammalia; Rodentia; Sciuridae. The record is from RefSeq and is a predicted model, not a curated record.
AGCGUCUUCUUGUCACCGUCUGAGAGAUGGAGGAAGGUCUGGCUGAGGCGAGGUGACACGUUGGUCUCCUCCAAUCCGGGCACGCCAGCCACAGAGAGUGUGAGGGCUAGAAGCAGAGCAGAGACCCGGGAAUGGAGCCUUCACGACGUAGUGACCACUGAGGACUGCUGCUUGCCAUGCCCUCUGUGAAUGAAAUGCAGCCAGCCGUGAGUGGCCACCCUCCUCCCAGGACGCGCCACGUAAGGCUGCAUAGUUGUGUUCUCCGAAAUGUCAGGAGUGUUGGAGGACACCGAUUUCGACUAUCAGGUGAACGUGCCCCUAGGAUGGGGAGACAGAAACUACUUCCACCUUCUCCCCUAGGUAAGAGCAGUCGGGCCCUGGGCAGGGGCUUCCUCCCCCAGAGGCAUCUCUGCUGGCCCUUUAAUCUGACAGCCCCCCUCUUGCCAGAACAGUGAGUUCCUCUCUCCCUCCCAAGUCCUCACGGUGCUUCAACAAACCGCAUUUCCAGGGGGAAACUGGGACUGAACUCAGGGCUGUUUGAUACUAAGUCUCAUCAUUAACUUAUAAGACCCGAGGGCUCAAAGCCAGCCCAGUGAGGUUCUCAUCUCCGCAUCCCCACCCGGGUUACGGGCACCCAGAGGGUGCUGGUGGGGUCAGAGUUGCUCCCUAAUUUGUCAAAGGACACACACAAACUCUGGAGUCUGGGGGCCUGGGUUCAAAUCCUGCUGCAUCCCAGCUGCCCUGGCUGCAGACACGGGCCUGGGCUUCACCUCCUUGCUUCCCAGAUGCACCAUGGAAGUGAGUCCACCCCUGGAGGGGGACCUGUCACUGCCACUCACCCGC